GGAAUAUUGCACAAUGGGGGAAACCCUGAUGCAGCGACGCCGCGUGAGCGAAGAAGUAUUUCGGUAUGUAAAGCUCUAUCAGCAGGGAAGAAAAAAUGACGGUACCUGACUAAGAAGCACCGGCUAAAUACGUGCCAGCAGCCGCGGUAAUACGUAUGGUGCAAGCGUUAUCCGGAUUUACUGGGUGUAAAGGGAGCGCAGGCGGUUUGUUAAGUCAGAUGUGAAAUCCCCGGGCUCAACCUGGGAACUGCAGUUGAUACUGGCAGUCUUGAGUGCAGUAGAGGUGGGCGGAAUUCGUGGUGUAGCGGUGAAAUGCUUAGAUAUCACGAAGAACUCCGAUUGCGAAGGCAGCUCACUGGAGUGUAACUGACGCUGAUGCUCGAAAGUGUGGGUAUCAAACAGGA
RNAcentral lists this unclassified non-coding RNA (404 nucleotides) under plant metagenome. RNAcentral's name for it is "partial contains 5.8S ribosomal RNA, internal transcribed spacer 2, and large subunit ribosomal RNA". It matches the Rfam family "Bacterial small subunit ribosomal RNA", at positions 358 to 777 of the family's 1533-position model. The record is from RNAcentral.